This 448-nucleotide ribosomal RNA is filed under the name uncultured prokaryote. Its description in RNAcentral is "bacterial SSU rRNA". It matches the Rfam family "Bacterial small subunit ribosomal RNA", at positions 355 to 796 of the family's 1533-position model. The record is from RNAcentral.
UGGGGAAUUUUCCGCAAUGGGCGACAGCCUGACGGAGCAAUACCGCGUGAGGGAGGAAGGCCUUAGGGUCGUAAAGCUCUGUUGUUGGGGACGAAGGGCGAAGGGUUAAUAGCCCCUAGACUGACGGUACCCUUCGCGGAAGCCCCGGCUAACUACGUGCCAGCAGCCGCGGUAAUACGAAGGGGGCGAGCGUUGUCCGGAAUUAUUGCGCGUAAAGAGCGUGUAGGCGGCCUGGUAAGUCUGCCGUGAAAACCUGGGGCUCAACCCUGGGCGUGCGGUGGAUACUGCUAGGCUAGAGGAUGGUAGAGGCGAGUGGAAUUCCCGGUGUAGCGGUGAAAUGCGCAGAUAUCGGGAGGAACACCAGUAGCGAAGGCGGCUCGCUGCGCCAUUCCUGACGCUGAGACGCGAAAGCGUGGGGAGCAAACAGGAUUAGAUACCCCUGUAGUCC